RNAcentral lists this unclassified non-coding RNA (2818 nucleotides) under Leishmania donovani. RNAcentral describes it as "gene:LdHU3.17.1550(CDS-product:hydrolase_alpha/be ta_fold_family-like_protein)". The record is from RNAcentral. Lineage: Eukaryota; Euglenozoa; Kinetoplastea; Trypanosomatida; Trypanosomatidae.
GAGGACACACGCGCUGUAGCCACCGCACCUUAUCCGCACCACCUGUCUGUCUCUCCCCCACGCACGCACACCCACACCGUUCGCACGCAUCGCGCACCCUCGUGAGGCACACAUCGCUUCGUCUUCGUGCUCUUCAUUACGGGGCUGUCGUCUCUUUCCCGGCUGGGGAGAAGCGAAAACGUUGCGGUGUUACACUUCCCUUUCGUAGUGGCGCCUCUUACCACGCCAUCCGCCAUCGAACUUGUCGUGGCGGCUGCUAUCGUGCCGCAGUUCCUAGCUGCUCCCGCUGCAUUGCGACCUCCGUGGCUGUCUGUGAUUGUGCAUCACUGGAGCUGCUGCUGCUGCCGGCGGUCUCUAGUGACGUUCCCGCCGCUCUCGCUGGGGUUUCGGCUUCCUCUUCUGCGCCCUUUGCACACCGUCACGCAGGCCCCGGGAACGUGAUCAUGAUGUCCCCUGAAAUAACUGAGACCGAUGAGGCAGAGAAUAUGCCACGCGAGCUUCGCGGUAAAGGCAAGCCGAUGCCGUGCGACAAGUUUGUGAGGGUUGGCCGGUGCCAUAGCACACGAAAGGAAGUGAUUAUCUGCUACAGAACUCUCGGUGAUCCCUCCAACCCAUGCCUGCUGCUCGUCAUAGGCCUCGGUGGUACCUUGCUUCACUGGCCGGGCGAGUUUCUCGCUGAACUUCUCAAGAACGGUUUCUACCUUGUUUUGUUUGACAACCGCGACUCGGGUCUGUCGACCCACUUCGACGGCUACCCGACCCCGUGCCUCCCCUGCAUGGUAUUCCAGUCGUGGUCCCCCCUUUGCGGAGGCGCGCCGCCCUACACGCUCUACGACAUGGCGAAUGAUGCUUGGUGUUUGCUGACGGCACUCGGGAUUGGCCGCGCGCACCUCUUGGGCACCUCCAUGGGUGGCAUGAUUGUGCAGUGCAUGGCCAUACAAUAUCCUAAGCGGGUGUGUAGCCUCACGAUUUGUUACUCGCACAGCAGCGGCCCGUAUGUGAAGCCGCAGGCGUGUCGCGUGACGCUGGCGUUGCUGGACAAGCCUGCUAGCCUGUCCCUGAAGGACGUCGAGGACUAUGUUGUUCGCAGUGACUGCCUCUUCAGGGGCGACUACCCGCUGGACGAGGCGCAUGUGCGCGAGGUCGCCGCGACUAACUUCAUGCGAAGCCCUCCCUACAAGAGCGGGUUGCUGCGACACGUAUGGGCGGUGCAGCGCGCGAGUAAUCGCGAGCCUGCCCUCCGCCGGCUGAGGGGCUUCCCAGUGCUCGUCGUACACGGCAGGAAGGAUCUGAUGAUACCGUACGAAAACGGCUUGCGGCUGGCGUGCGUGCUGUGCAAUGCAAAACUCGUUCUCUUUCCUCACAUGGGGCAUUCUAUCCCGAGGCCGCUCUACGUGGAGAUCGCGAUGGAGGUCGGUUUGCAGAAGCUACGCAUGGUGAACGUGCCGCUGUAGGGGGCCGGCCGCUGCUGUGCGGGCGAUGGAUGCCACCGCCACGGCCGAAGACACGGUCGGGGCGUGGAGCCGACGGGGAGGGGAGGGGAGGUGCCACGUUGUUUCACCUCUUUUGUUAGGAUUGGUUGUUUAGUCUCGUCGUAGAAAUCAAUAAGCACUUCACCUUUCUGGAGAGGGACGACGCGGCAGCCGACAUGCGGGCGGUUGAUUGGCGCCGAUGGCAUUCCUUCUUCCGGUUCGAGUUGAGUCUGAGGGUGGAGGGCCAAGUCCCCUACCUGCCUGGUGGUGGGUGGAGAGGGUGGCUGCUCACGUCACCGCUUGAUUCGCUUCUUUUAGAGCUGUGUGCUCGCCUGUGGACGCUGCGCGCAAUCUCUUCCAACGCCUCCGCGCAGACCACUAACGGCACCAAAAAAAACGUGCAUAACAUGUAUAAUGAGGAGCUGUUCUCUCUCUCAUCCGCUCACCCUCACGUUCACCUUGUGCCCGCCAUAUCUGCCCUCGUUGGCCUAUGCGCGCUCCCUCCCUUAUUAUUAUAUUUGAUCCCCCCUCUACGCCAACCUUACACCUCACGUGGAGGCGAUUUUGCCUUCGUGUGGCCCGUGCUCUCAGUCGUUUUUUUUUUCUCACUUCGCUUGUGUCCCUCUUCCUUCGUUUCGUUGUUUAUAUCCUUUUAAAGCGUUCUGUGGGCCGCUCUCUCUCUGCCUCUUUCUUUCCCUCAUGCUUUCUCGCACGCCCUCCCCUUCCCUCUGUCUGCCUUCCUCCCCCUUCUCAGUGUCACUCUACAGCCUGCGUUUCUUCGGUAUUUUGUUGGGUGUGGGGGUGUUCGCCUCGACUGUAUUAUCCCCCUCCCUUUGCUGCUUGUUGCUGUCUUGGUUGAACACGGACUUCUCCUACGCGCGCGCGCUUCUCGUUACCUUCCCUCCCCCUCCCUCCCUCCCUGUCUGUGGGUCUGCCUCCUCUGUCAGGCUGUUACGUUUGCCUGGGCAUAUGCGGGACUGCUGCCUCGCAUGGGUUCCUGUGCGAUGCGUGUGGACCUGCUCUGCACCGAAGAGCGAAAGAAAGCAGCGAGACGGACACGGAGACAGGGGAGGGAGACACAGGAAGGAGGGAAGAGCAUCGCGCCCCGUGCAGCUGUACGCGCGUUGCAGCGUGUGCAGUCGUUCUUCCGCUUUCCGCCGCCCGCCGCCGCUUUCCUUUUCUUUCGCCCACUUGCUUUGAUUUCCACCUAUUUAUGAUUUUGCCACCUCUCUCUCUCUCUAUAUAUAUAUAUGUGUGUGUGUGUGCGCAUGUGCGCAUGUGCGUGUGUACGCUGUGGUACUGGGCCGGAGGCACCCCCUCCCCACGGUCAGUUCCGAAAACGAAAA